Molecule: ribosomal RNA, 625 nt
Filed under: Enterobacter sp. YC17
Lineage: Bacteria; Pseudomonadati; Pseudomonadota; Gammaproteobacteria; Enterobacterales; Enterobacteriaceae
Also listed under: 1 other name
Description: bacterial SSU rRNA
Rfam family: Bacterial small subunit ribosomal RNA
Source: RNAcentral
AGCUAACGCGUUAAAUCGACCGCCUGGGGAGUACGGCCGCAAGGUUAAAACUCAAAUGAAUUGACGGGGGCCCGCACAAGCGGUGGAGCAUGUGGUUUAAUUCGAUGCAACGCGAAGAACCUUACCUGGUCUUGACAUCCACAGAACUUUCCAGAGAUGGAUUGGUGCCUUCGGGAACUGUGAGACAGGUGCUGCAUGGCUGUCGUCAGCUCGUGUUGUGAAAUGUUGGGUUAAGUCCCGCAACGAGCGCAACCCUUAUCCUUUGUUGCCAGCGGUUAGGCCGGGAACUCAAAGGAGACUGCCAGUGAUAAACUGGAGGAAGGUGGGGAUGACGUCAAGUCAUCAUGGCCCUUACGACCAGGGCUACACACGUGCUACAAUGGCGCAUACAAAGAGAAGCGACCUCGCGAGAGCAAGCGGACCUCAUAAAGUGCGUCGUAGUCCGGAUUGGAGUCUGCAACUCGACUCCAUGAAGUCGGAAUCGCUAGUAAUCGUAGAUCAGAAUGCUACGGUGAAUACGUUCCCGGGCCUUGUACACACCGCCCGUCACACCAUGGGAGUGGGUUGCAAAAGAAGUAGGUAGCUUAACCUUCGGGAGGGCGCUUACCACUUUGUGAUUCAUGAC